UAACACGUAGGAGGCGAGCGUUAUCCGGAUUUACUGGGCGUAAAGCGCGUGCAGGCGGCCCGGCAAGUUGGCUGUGAAAGCCCCCGGCUCAACCGGGGGAGGUCGGUCAAAACUGCCGGUGCUAGAGGAUGGGAGAGGGAGAUGGAAUUCCGGGUGUAGUGGUGAAAUGCGUAGAGAUCCGGAGGAACACCAGUGGCGAAAGCGAUCUUCUGGCCCAUCACUGACGCUCAGACGCGAAAGCUAGGGGAGCGAACGGGAUUAGAGACCCCGGUAGUCCUAGCCGUAAACGAUGUAGACUAGGCGUGGGCGGGUUCAAAUCCGUCCGUGCCGCAGCCAACGCGAUAAGUCUACCGCCUGGGGACUACGGCCGCAAGGUUAAAACUCAAAGGAAUUGACGGAGGCCCGCAC
This 408-nucleotide ribosomal RNA is filed under the name uncultured Chloroflexota bacterium. RNAcentral describes it as "bacterial SSU rRNA". It matches the Rfam family "Bacterial small subunit ribosomal RNA", at positions 521 to 926 of the family's 1533-position model. Lineage: Bacteria; Bacillati; Chloroflexota. The record is from RNAcentral.